RNAcentral lists this long non-coding RNA (3075 nucleotides) under Homo sapiens (human). Its description in RNAcentral is "non-protein coding lnc-LYSMD4-2:2". Lineage: Eukaryota; Metazoa; Chordata; Mammalia; Primates; Hominidae. The record is from RNAcentral.
GUUAGGCUGCCGUUGGUCCCGAGACUCCCCCAUCUGCGCCCCCGCCCUGCCCUGCGAGGCCGCCGCCGCGCGCCCCACCGUCUGUUGCAGUGGAGCGUGAGCCGCGGCUGCGGCUCCUGGUUCUUGUGGAAGGACAGCAAGGCUGAGGAGAAUGGCUCCCACAGCUUCAUGCACUCCAUGGACCCACAGCUGGAGCGGCAAAUGGAAACCACCCAGAACCUGGUGGACUCCUACAUGGCCAUUGUCAACAAGACCGUGUGGGACCUCAUGGUUGGUGCGAAGCCCAAGACCACCAUGCAUAUCAUGAUCUACAAUGUGCAUGCACCGCCUCAUGGGGACCAAGGAGUUCAUCUUCUCGGAGCUGCUGUCCAACCUGCGCUCGCGUGGGAACGAGAAGACACUCAUGGAGGAGUCGGCAGAGUAGGCACAGCGGCGCGACGAGAUGCUGCUUCUCAGAGCUGCUGUCCAACCUGCACUCGCUUGGGAACCAGAAGACACUCGUGGAGGAGUCGGCAGAGCAGGCACAGCGGCGCGACGAGACUCGCGUGGGAAGAAAUAGACACUCCUGGAGGAGUCGGCAGAGCAGGCACAGCGGCGCGACGAGACUCGCGUGGGAACGAGAAGACACUCCUGGAGGAGUCGGCAGAGCAGGCAGACCAAGGAGUUCAUCUUCUCGGAGCUGCUGUCCAACCUGCACUCGCGUAGGGACAAGAAGACACUCCUGCAGGAGUCGGCGGAGCAGGCAGACCAAGGAGUUCAUCUUCUCAGAGCUGCUGUCCAACCUGCACUCGCGUGGGAACGAGAAGACACUCCUGGAGGAGUCGGCGGAGCAGGCACAGCGGCGCGACGAGAUGCUGCGCAUGCACCACGUGCUGAAAGAGGCUCUCAGCAUCAUCGGCAACAUCAACACGAACACCGUCAGCACAGCUACGGGGGCCCGUGGACGACGCCUAGCUGCAGCAGCCAAGCCCAGCAAAAGAAUGGCAUACGGGAGUUGCUGCACAAGCCUGGGUGCUCCACGCUGUCAGUGAGGCUCACCUCACAAAGAUCUUUGGAGAGAAGGAGGUGGGGAUCCGAGUGCAGUGAGAGCCUCCCCUGCCCCUGCCUGCCCACCCUGCCUGAGGACUCUACUCACCACCAUGCUUAUCAGCACCCACAAGCUCCUGGGGGGCUGGGGCUCCUGGACCAGGCUCAUCAGCAAGCUUCAGGGCAGUGGCCGGGAAUUUGCUGUGUCCCUCGUUGUAGUCACCACAAGCCGCAACAUCUUCUCCAGCAGCUCCAGCAGCUUCACCUGGAGGGAGGGGUGCUCAGCUGUUAUGCAUCUACCGGCGCCCACCCUCACGCCCACCCCCACCCCUGCAGAGAUGUUGCACACCCUACCUUCAUCUCCUCCAUGUCCUGGGCCAGCCUGAUGAUGUCCUCCUCCAGUUGCCGCAUCUUUGGCACUGCCCCCUGGCUGUGUUCUAGGGUGAUGAACUUUCCUGCAGGAGGACAGGGCUCAGACGCUGAGGUCCCUCCGACGGCCCUGCAGCUCCCCCUGCCGUGCCCUGGCCUCCCACUAACUGAUGACUUCUGUCUUUCCAGUACUGGAUGAAUCGAAGUUCUAGUUUCUCCGCUCGCUCCCUCAGGUCCACCUUCUCCUCCAGGAGGUCCAUAAGGCCACUCUGGAGCCAAAAUAAUGGGGUCACAUCUCGGCAGCAACACCCACCCCUGCCCUUCUUGGCCCAUGCCAGGACUCAGUCACCUCCAGCUUCUCCAUGACCUCCUGCAUGGCCCGGUGGGUCUCCCCACUCACAGACUGGCCCCUAGUCACUGGGGCUGGGACCGCUGCCUCUGGCUUCUGCUGGGCCGAGGCCACCAGGUGAGCCAUGCGCUGGCAGCACACCCUCUGCUCUUUCACCUGCUCUCAUAACCGUGCCUGCUCCUCCUGGGCAUUGGCUCCAGCGGAGUUGAAAAAUGCAACCUGAGGGCAAGAGGUGAGCAUUCUUGUAGGGGCAUACACAGAACGAACGGGGCAGAGAGGUGGAGUGCAGCCUCUUCCCUUGGGGCCUCAGAGAGUGCAUCUGUUGGUCACAGGUGAAAUGGUGUCUGACCACUGGCUCCUGGAAGGGAUGAGGGUCCAGAGAAAUCAGAAGGCAGGGAAACCAAGAGCAUAAAGGGGUCUUGGAGGGACCACAGAGGAAGGUGGCAAAAUGGGUACAGGGGGAGUCAGGCUCACCGUGGCCUCCCAGCUCUCCAGGUCCUCUGGGUUGCUUGGCAUGGGCCGAGGUGCCUCCUCCUCACUGUCCAGAUGUCCUCCUCUAUCUCCUGUGGGGGGUGGCCAGAAGGGUCCUCAGACAGCCCAAUAAGGGAGGUACUGUGGGCCCACCUCUGCCUCCACCCUCACUGUGUAACACUGAGCCAGCCACUACCCAGAGAGCAGCUGCUGUUCUUUAUUUUUACUUUUAAGAACCAAGAUCAGGCAUAGUCCCACUACCAGUCGAUGUGGGAGUUCUGACCCGCUCCCUUUCUGACCUGGGCCAGUUCAGCCAUCCUUAGGCAACUUGGUGGCCCCCCGCUCCCAGGAGGACAUCAUAUUGAUGCCAAACUUAGUGCGGGCACCCGGUCGGCAUAGGGACCAGCUGUUCUAAAGGUCUCUUCCAACCUUUGCCUUUUUCUUUGCUGCGGCCAAUUUGCUCUGUUGAGUUUCUUCUGCCAUUGCGGGGUGGGGAGGGAGGCGGGGUUGGGGCCACGUGAGCAAAAUCCCAGUGAGCACUGAUGAACACCUCCACUUGCCUACCAGGCAGCUGUGUGACUGAGCCCGAGGAGGCACAACUAGGGCCCCCAUAGAAUGCAGAACAGGGGCGUGGCCUUAAUGCUCCAAGCCCAUUGGUCAAUGACAAAGAUGAAAGGGAAAGGGGGUGUGGCCAGGCAGCAGUAUGUCCAGAGGGACCUGUGGCUCACAAGGAAAGCUGUCCAUGCAACUGCUGUCCCCGCCUACUCUGAGGGGAGGGGCCGCCCCCUCUGGGAGAGGGGAGGGGCCGGCUUUUGCUUUAAAAGCUUUAAAACUUUAAAAAAUAUAUGUGUGUAUACUUU